Molecule: long non-coding RNA, 388 nt
Filed under: Salmo salar (Atlantic salmon)
Lineage: Eukaryota; Metazoa; Chordata; Actinopteri; Salmoniformes; Salmonidae
Description: lncRNA (ENSSSAG00000099869.1)
Source: RNAcentral
AGUAACUAACUACUGUUUGUGUGUGUGCUACAGGGUAGGUCUACCAGGUUAUUGUGUGCUACAGGGUAGGCCUACCAGGUUAUUGUGUGCUACAGGGUAGGCCUACCAGGUUACUGUGUGCUACAGGGUAGGCCUACCAGGUUAUUGUGUGCUACGGGGAAGGCCUACCAGGUUAUUGUGUGCUACGGGGAAGGCCUACCAUCUUAUUGUGUGCUACAGGGAAGGCCUACCAUCUUAUUGUGUGCUACAGGGAAGGCCUACCAUCUUAUUGUGUGCUACGGGGAAGGCCUACCAGGUUAUUAUAAGUAGCCUAUAGGCCUACAGUCUAGGUUUGCGUGGCUAGAGAUUUAAGGCUCAUCGUAUUGUACUUGUUUGGCUGGGUCUUUAG